GGUAUUGACUCGGGGUGCAGUUGGAUGACAUACCAACGGCUGAGACAUACCCGUCGAACCUGACACGGUUAAUACCGUCGUAGGGAAGUCGUCUAUUAGGUUA
Molecule: non-coding RNA, 103 nt
Organism: Enhydrobacter aerosaccus SK60
Lineage: Bacteria; Pseudomonadati; Pseudomonadota; Alphaproteobacteria; Hyphomicrobiales
Source: Rfam